AGCAACUCCAACGCCGUACACCACAACGACCCGCUAUAAAUAACCGGCGCAGGCAACCGAGCCGAAGCCACACACGCACAACGCAAGAAACCGCAGGAAAAAUAAUACCAAGCCGACCAAUCAUGGCUCGCCCCCGCCUCCGGCUGCUCCUCCUCGUCGCCGCCGUCCUCCUCCUCCUCCACCCGGCCCUCUCCUCGGCGUCGGAGGGGCUGGAGGACCCCCUCAUCGAGCAGGUGGUCGGGGGCGACGCGGAGAACGAGCUGGAGCUCAACGCGGAGGCGCACUUCGCGACCUUCGUGCGGCGGUUCGGCAAGUCCUACAGGGAUGCCGACGAGCACGCGCACCGGCUCUCCGUGUUCAGGGCCAACCUCCGCCGCGCGCGCCGCCACCAGCGCCUCGACCCCUCCGCGGUGCACGGCAUCACCAAGUUCUCCGACCUCACCCCCGACGAGUUCCGGGAGCGCUUCCUCGGCCUCCGCAAGUCCCGCCGGAGCUUCCUCAAGGGGAUCUCCGGGUCGGCGCACGACGCGCCGGCCCUCCCCACCGACGGCCUCCCCACAGAGUUCGACUGGCGCGAGCACGGCGCGGUCGGCCCAGUCAAGGACCAGGGUUCGUGCGGGUCGUGCUGAUCCUUCAGUACGUCGGGGGCGCUGGAGGGUGCCAACUACCUCGCCACCGGGAAGCUGGAGGUGCUCAGCGAGCAGCAGCUGGUCGACUGCGACCACGAGUGUGACCCGUCAGAACCACGCGCAUGUGACGCGGGAUGCAAUGGUGGCUUGAUGACUACAGCUUUCAGCUAUCUCGCAAAAGCUGGUGGCUUAGAAACCGAGAAGGAUUACCCGUACACUGGGAAGAACAGUGCCUGCAAGUUUGACAAAUCCAAAAUUGCUGCUCAAGUUAAGAAUUUUAGUACUGUUGCUAUUGACGAAGAUCAGAUUGCUGCUAACCUUGUGAAACAUGGCCCACUUGCAAUUGGUAUCAAUGCAGUAUUCAUGCAAACGUACAUUGGUGGUGUCUCAUGCCCAUACAUCUGCGGAAGGCAUCUUGAUCAUGGUGUUCUCCUGGUUGGCUAUGGAUCAGCUGGUUACGCACCGCUCCGCUUCAAGGAGAAACCAUACUGGAUCAUAAAGAACUCAUGGGGCGAAAACUGGGGCGAGAGCGGGUACUACAAGAUCUGCAGGGGUCCGCAUGUCAAAAACAAGUGCGGUGUCGAUUCCAUGGUCUCCACGGUUACCGCCAUCCAUACCUCUAAGAAGGAAUAAGAUCUUCUAGUACUCUCGGUCUGGAUUGCCUAUAGACAUGCUUGUGUGCCAGGACUAGGUAUUCCAUGAUGGUUAUUCCAGUAUUGCUUUGCAAUUUGUAACCAGUAAAUAUGUGAAACUUCUCUUGAUUGCUGUAAUGUAUCUCUGGGUUGCUAUGUAUUGCUACGCAGUUCUUGGAACAUGGUAGCAGAUAUUUGUUGCCAUCAUUAAUGUAUAUAAUCUGGUGUUCUGGUUGAUCAUUGAAUAUGUUGUGCAAUGC
Molecule: ribosomal RNA, 1521 nt
Filed under: Triticum aestivum (bread wheat)
Lineage: Eukaryota; Viridiplantae; Streptophyta; Magnoliopsida; Poales; Poaceae
Description: partial small subunit ribosomal RNA
Source: RNAcentral